This 82-nucleotide transfer RNA is filed under the name Hofstenia miamia. RNAcentral's name for it is "tRNA-Gln for anticodon CUG". It matches the Rfam family "tRNA". From Rfam's summary of the family: Transfer RNA (tRNA) molecules are approximately 80 nucleotides in length. The record is from RNAcentral. Lineage: Eukaryota; Metazoa; Xenacoelomorpha; Acoela; Hofsteniidae.
GGCAGAGUGGCCGAGUGGUCUAAGGCGCUAGUUUCUGGUACUAGUAUCUUCCGAUGCGUGGGUUCAAAUCUCACCUCUGUCA